Long non-coding RNA from Myxocyprinus asiaticus (Chinese sucker), 3430 nucleotides. RefSeq lists it as uncharacterized. Lineage: Eukaryota; Metazoa; Chordata; Actinopteri; Cypriniformes; Catostomidae. The transcript is spliced from 2 exons. The record is from RefSeq and is a predicted model, not a curated record.
CAUAAAUGUAAUCCAUACUAUAGUGGUUAAAUUCAUGUCUUCAGAGGCAAUAUGAUAGGUGAGUGAGAAACAGAUCAAUAUAUUUAGUUCCCUUUUUUUCUGUAAAGCUACACUUUCACUUCAAGCCACCUACUGGUUGGGGGUGGUCAAAGGUGGAGCUUUAUAGUAUUAAAAAAAGACUUAAAUAUUGAUCUGUUUCUAACCCAACCUAUAAUAUUGCUUCUGAAGACAAUGAUUUAACCACUGAAGUCACUUGGAUUACCUCUAUGUCCUUUUUGGACCAUCUGAAAUCUGGUUACCAUUCACUUGCAUUGUGUGGACCUACAGAGCUGAGAUAUUCUUCUAAAAAUCUUAGUUUGUGUUCUAUAGAAGAAAGUAAGUCAUACAAGAUGGGAACACCUGACUACGCCACCCAAGGAAUUGCACCCAGGGAAAUGGUUCAACCCAAAAGGUCACUCAGGUUUGUUUGUGCAAUAAGCAGACAAGAAUUCCAACUCGAUUCUUAGAUAUUAACACACACACGGGGAAAUAACAUUCAUAAAUAUACAAACUCAAAAUCACAAUCCUUAUUUGAUAAUUCCAUUAAAAAAGGUAGAAGUGGCCAAAAGAAUAAAACCACCAAUAUAACUCCUAAAAACAGAUCAGAGGCAUACCAGGGAGAGAAACUUCCAGGGUAUGCUGCAGAAUAGCACCGCGCGCACACACACACACCACAAUAAAAGUAAGAUCAGUGUAAUGAAAAGGCAACCACCACCAGGGGAAUAGUCUCUCCAACCAGUGACACCACUCAAACUAAGAAAGGAAAAAAAAAAUAAAUAAAUAAAUAAAUAAAUAAAAACACCCCACACAUUAAAAAAGGCAAUAAACCAAUGUCAGUUCAAUAUCACUAAAUACCUGUACAUUUACCUUCACGAAUGACCUAUUAUAAUGUGGGCAUUCACUGGAAUUUCAAUGCAGAAGAGUCUAGCUUGGCCUAGGAAGCUAAGGCCCAAUCACCUAUGUAAAAGGAGCACAAGUCAUCAAGGGAAACUCCAAAAAAAACAAGAAAAUCAUACGAAAGAUCAAGGAUCACAAACAAACCUAACAGCAAAUAAAGCCACCCGAUUACUAAACAAUACAAAAACAAAUCAAGCCGUUUAAAUUAAUAACAAAUACUCAAAUAGUUCAGGUAAGGAUAAGUGAAAGGGACAUUUGCAUCAGCACCAUAGAAGGCAAAAUAGCAAGGUCACCGUCACGAUAUUACGAGGGCCAAACUGGAGUUGAAGCAGCCAUCCGCCAACCAGCAGGGUACAUCACCACCUUCUAUUCCCAAAAGUAGCACCACAAGAUAGAAUGGAAGUUUUAACACCAAGCAAGAGAAGUGGUUGAAACUGACUACCGUACUUCAUGCUUUUGAUAAACUCUCAGAAAGCAAAGAGCAAUUGAAAGCAGCACUAGCAUUUGUUCCAAAGUUAAACUCGCAGGACUGAAAGGAUAAGGUGCACUCACUCUGGGCACACCGAUCUCUCAUUGAGUUUGCUGGGGCUUAAUACUGUAUACUUGCACCUAAUGACCAAUUACUAACAGGUGUAAGGAGGGAAUCACCGAAAGAGUAAGAAAUCCUUAAAGGGCCAGGCUCUAAUAUCUGCAUUGCCAUAAUAUAAAAAGUCAAUCCCCCUGAAAGUCACUAUAUCAUUUGCACUCUAAGCUCAAAUAUCAAACUCAGGUUUUGCAUGUUUUUACACCAUCACCAGGUCUUCUAACAAUGAGAAUUUGGAUUGAAUCAAGGAAGGAUUCACACUCCAAUUGUGUUUCUAACCCAAAAUAUUUAAACUGUUGUCACUGUUGUUGACAGUGUCAUUCAUAAUGCAGCAAUGCUAAAGUUUUUUCAAAUAUUACAUCAUGGUACAGGAUUCAAUAUACUCCCAAAAUGUUUUGUUAACUUGCACCAAAACACUGACACAACUGCACCUGUUUAGUUUAGCAAGGCAUUUGUUUACCCUACACUGUAAAUGUGGUUAACCAUUACCUACUUUGCCAUGCUUUUUUAUGGAUCAGUGGUACUAACAAGACAUUACAGACUGUGGUGAAGUCUGAAAUGCAGCAAGGGGAAGUGUUUGCUAAGAUGAGUUCCUUCAUGACCUCCUUUCAUUGAAGACAGCUUUUGGUUAUUAUCAUGACUGAGUGGAGCACACCACACUUGAAAGAGAUUCUUAUUGGGAACUCUGGGUUUUCCAUGACCACGAUUACUUUGUGCCACACUUCCUACAGUUCAAAAGUCAUUCUGCAGAAAAUGGAGACAACAUCCAGAUUAUAGAGAAACAACCCAAGACAUCAAAUGAAAAAUGCCACUGUUGAAGCACGAUUGACAACACAGGACAAACUCCUCACUACUGUGACCUCUUUCUCUUAGUGUCUUAAUGCAUGUGUAAAGGACUGACCUGUAUAUAAAAAUACAAAUUCAUGAACUACUUCAUAUGAAUACUACACUGGGUUAUCAUUCCUUUAUUUCAACAGAAAUAUCUCCAUUUUAAUGCAAACGAGCAGGCCGUCAUAUCUAAUCAGCUUUCUGAAGAGGAGUUCGGUCAAAUGUAGCUACUCAAAUUCACAAUACAAUAAUGUGAAAGACACUAGGAGUAGAACAAACUCUUCUGACUUGCUGCAUGAAACUUCAAACUACAAUAAUCGGUCAAAAUUAAUCAGGGAGACAGUAUAUUUCUGUUUCUUUUAUAAGUCAAGACAAAAAAGGCAAUCGGGAGAUGACCAACAUGUAAAAAUGUUUUGUUACAGGUAAAUAUAUAAAAGGCCAAGAUGUCAUCGUUACCUCUUGCGGUAUGAAUGAACUAUAUUACAGUUGAACUCGGCUUUAACCAAGAAUGAGAACCUCCAUCAACCCCCAACAUGGAAACAAACAGGUAUACAUUUAACAUUUACUUUGCAUACCCCUCAGAUAAUCAAAGAAAAACAAGGUAGAAAUUAAUUUAAUCUUCACAAACUUUCUCACUAACUAGGGCAGAGAACAUUCUACAAACAUGUGGUGGAACAAGUGAAAAAGUUAAAAAGGAAAAGCCAGAGGAAGGAAAUAAAUGUAAGCAAUAGCAGUUUGGUGAGGGAAAAUUAAAUGCAAAUUAUGUUUUGCGAUUUUUACAUCUCUAGGUUUAGCAUACACAAACAGUCAAAACAAGUAUAGAUAUAUGCAGUAAACAAAGUAAAAGCCCUUCAGAUGUUUAAAUCUGUUAACAUCCUUUCAACUGUAUCACAUUAACACUCGGCUUUAGCACAAAUACAAUGUCAUUCCUCAUGUGCAAGAGUCUAACAGAGUAUUUGAAGAUAGCACGGCCCCCCAAAAGCCUUUCUUACCACAAAUCCUUGAAAACCAAUGGGGAUGAACUAGAACUUUUAAAAAUAAAAGGAGUAAAAAAAAAAAAAACUAAAAAAAAAAACCCACACA